Molecule: small nucleolar RNA, 131 nt
Organism: Apodemus sylvaticus (European woodmouse)
Lineage: Eukaryota; Metazoa; Chordata; Mammalia; Rodentia; Muridae
Product: small nucleolar RNA SNORA17
Exons: 1
Source: RefSeq, a predicted model, not a curated record
GCUGCCACAAGAGGCACUGCAAGUGUGGCUUCUGUGUCACAUGUGCCUUAGUGAGUGGCAAAGAGGAGAGAAGCUAUAUCUAUGCUCAAUAUUCAACAGAUGAACAUUUGAUUGAGUGGUAGCCUACCAUU